GAAGAGCAUUGAGAUCGAAAAUUCCUAAAAGUGUUGCCAAAUACAGCUAAGGUAAUCUAUGCCUGAGGUAGAAAAGCCUUAGCAUUUAAAAAAUAUCGAAAUUUUGUAAACAGUUAAUCUAUAAAUAUACUAGGCUUGUGAUACCCUCGGGGAAAUAAAUCUCCACCAGCAGUGGCAUCGACCCAGUGGUUGUAAAUAAACUCAUCAUAGAUACCAGGACUAAAUUUUGUAUAUACACCAGACGCGCGUUUCGUCUUCAAAAGACUCAUCAGUGACGCUCGAAUCAAAAACAAAAAAAGGCAUGAUAACUAAAAGCUAACACUUCACAUAAGGAGAACGCUUCUCCGUCCCAUCGUAAUUAUGUUUGUAGUAAAAUCUGGAGGACACAUACUUAAUUAAAUCAUAAUUAAAAAAAUGCUUUUGAUAUGAUCAAAAUGUAUUAUCACAGAAAAAAGUAAAAUCACAAAAAUACUGAACUCAGAGGAAAAGCAAUUCGGAAAGUCCAUAAUCACAUGGCAAAAUCAAAUAACAAAACGCAUCAAAAACGAAUGGACAAGAACUGUCAUAUUCCUGACUUGGUACAGGCAUUUUCAAAUGUAGAAAAUGGUGGAUUGAACCUGGUUUUAUAGCUAGCUAAACCUCUCACUUGUAUGACAGUCGCAUCAAUUUCCAUUAUAUUGUCAUCGAUGCGUGAACAAAACAAACAGACACAAUAGGUCAAAAUGUCAAAAAUAGGGGUACAGCAGUCAACAUUGUGUUAUCAUCUUAAUCACUAUAAAAACAACAAAUGUAACGAAGAAGCACAAAAAGGCAUACAUCAAAUUAACAUCCUCAUUUUGAUUAUAUUAUACGAUUUUAUUUGUCUAUGUAAAAUGCACCCAUCAAGGAAGGAGGGUUUUGAGUACUGGUGUAAAAUUGCGCGUUUGAAAUUCGCACAGGUAGACAUGAAAUAAUUUUGUCGUUCAAAGUAUGACGAUAGAGAAAAGUUUGUAUUUAUAUAGAAUUUACAUUUGUAAUAGGCGGUACCAAAUCAAUAUGAAAACAUAAUUAUGUACUGACUUGUUGGUCUUUUUGGUUCUGACUUGAAUCACCACUAACGAUUGGUGCCCGUUGUGUGUUGAUAAUUAGAAGAUACCAUCAACUGGUAUUUGCACCCACCAAAUCACUAAUUGAUGGCGUUGGCGCCUAAAAUACAUCACAACUAUCUCUAUACGUCAAAUAAUGCAUUUAAAAUCUAUUACACGUUAUCUGAGGUUGGGCGUCCGUUUUCCUAACACACAUUGUAAGUUGAUGCCAUGAAAAUUAGUGAUGUUAUCUAAUCAACCUAAACGUUAUACAUGAUGUUUCAUUAACAUAUAAAAAAGAAGAUGUGGUAUGAUUGCCAAUGAGACAACUGUCCACAAGAGACCAAAAUGACACAAACAUUAACAACUAUAGGUCACCGUACGGCCUUCAACAAUGAGCAAAGCCCAUACCGCAUAGUCAGCUAUAAAAGGCCCCGAUAAGACAAUGUAAAACAAUUCAAACGAGAAAACCAACGGCCUUAUUUAUAUAUAAAAAAAUGAACGAAAAACAAAUAUGUUACACAUAAACAAACGACAAUCACUGAAUUACAGGCUCCUGAUUUGGGACAGGCACAUACAUAAAUAAUGUGGCGGGGCUAAACAUGUUGGCGGGAUCCCAACCCUCCCCUAACCAUUUGCUAACAUAAGAACGAUAUAUGUUUGAUAUUCAUUUAUUUGUAAAUGCAUUCUUACAUGUAAUCUAAAUAUACGCACCUUCAAAAUGCCGCCUAAUUGUAAAUAUUUUGUCUUGAAUUAAAAUUCAAAUCAUUAUCACCCAUGACAGACUGAUAUGGGAAAACAAAUCAAGGACAAACCCAGC
Molecule: long non-coding RNA, 1884 nt
Filed under: Mytilus galloprovincialis (Mediterranean mussel)
Lineage: Eukaryota; Metazoa; Mollusca; Bivalvia; Mytilida; Mytilidae
Source: RNAcentral